AACGAACGCUGGCGGCAGGCUUAACACAUGCAAGUCGAGCGCCCGGCCAGGGGAGCGUCAGUCGGGCGAGUGACGAGUGGGAACGUACCCUUAUCUUCGGGAGAGCUUCGGGUAACUGGAAUUAAUACCGAAUGUGCCUUUUGGGGGAAAGACUUAUCGGAUAAGGAUCGGCCCGCGUUGGCUUAGCUCGUUGGUGGGGUAAAGGCCUACCAAGGCGACGAUCCAUAGCUGGUCUGAGAGGAUGAUCAGCCACAUUGGGCCUGAGACACGGCCCAAACUCCUACGGGAGGCAGCAGUGGGUAAUAUAGGACAAUGGGCGCAAGCCUGAUCCAGCCAUGCCGGGUAAGUCAUGAAGGCCUUAGGGUUGUGAAGCUCUUUCACCCGAGGAGAUAAUGACGGUAUCCGGAGAAGAAGCCCCGGCUAACUUCGUG
RNAcentral lists this ribosomal RNA (431 nucleotides) under uncultured bacterium. RNAcentral's name for it is "partial 16S ribosomal RNA". It matches the Rfam family "Bacterial small subunit ribosomal RNA", at positions 29 to 507 of the family's 1533-position model. The record is from RNAcentral.